This 505-nucleotide ribosomal RNA is filed under the name uncultured bacterium. RNAcentral's name for it is "bacterial SSU rRNA". It matches the Rfam family "Bacterial small subunit ribosomal RNA", at positions 19 to 518 of the family's 1533-position model. The record is from RNAcentral.
CUGGCUCUGGAUGAACGCUAGCGGCAGGCUAACACAUGCAAGUCGAGGGGCAGCGGGAUGUAGCAAUACAUGCCGGCGACCGGCGGAUGGGUGCGUAACGCGUAUGCAACCUACCUUAUACAGGGGAAUAACCUUUCGAAAGGGAGACUAACACCCCAUAGUAUUGAUUUAAGGCAUCUUAGAUUAAUUAAAUAUUUAUAGGUAUAAGAUGGGCAUGCGUAUGAUUAGCUAGUUGGUAAGGUAACGGCUUACCAAGGCGACGAUCAUUAGGGGUUCUGAGAGGAAGGUCCCCCACACUGGUACUGAGACACGGACCAGACUCCUACGGGAGGCAGCAGUGAGGAAUAUUGGUCAAUGGGCGCAAGCCUGAACCAGCCAUGCCGCGUGCAAGGAAGACGGCCUUAUGGGUUGUAAACUGCUUUUACAUAAGACUAACCGUAUAUUUGCGAAUAUACCUGAAUGUAUUAUGAGAAUAAGGAUCGGCUAACUCCGUGCCAGCCGCGGC